GACGAACGCUGGCGGCGUGCUUAACACAUGCAAGUCGAACGGAAGGGCCCUGCUUUUGUGGGGUGCUCGAGUGGCGAACGGGUGAGUAACACGUGAGUAACCUGCCCUUGACUUUGGGAUAACUUCAGGAAACUGGGGCUAAUACCGGAUAGGAGCUCCUGCUGCAUGGUGGGGGUUGGAAAGUUUCGGCGGUUGGGGAUGGACUCGCGGCUUAUCAGCUUGUUGGUGGGGUAGUGGCUUACCAAGGCUUUGACGGGUAGCCGGCCUGAGAGGGUGACCGGCCACAUUGGGACUGAGAUACGGCCCAGACUCCUACGGGAGGCAGCAGUGGGGAAUAUUGCACAAUGGGGAAGCCUGAUGCAGCAACGCCGCGUGCGGGAUGACGGCCUUCGGGUUGUAAACCGCUUUCGCCUGUGACGAAGCGUGAGUGACGGUAAUGGGUAAAGAAGCACCGGCUAACUACGUG
This 466-nucleotide ribosomal RNA is filed under the name uncultured bacterium. RNAcentral describes it as "partial 16S ribosomal RNA". It matches the Rfam family "Bacterial small subunit ribosomal RNA", at positions 28 to 507 of the family's 1533-position model. The record is from RNAcentral.